GACGAACGCUGGCGGCGUGCCUAAUACAUGCAAGUUGAGCGCUGAAGGUUGGUACUUGUACCAACUGGAUGAGCAGCGAACGGGUGAGUAACGCGUGGGGAAUCUGCCUUUGAGCGGGGGACAACAUUUGGAAACGAAUGCUAAUACCGCAUAAAAACUUUAAACACAAGUUUUAAGUUUGAAAGAUGCAAUUGCAUCACUCAAAGAUGAUCCCGCGUUUUAUUAGCUAGUUGGUGAGGUAAAGGCCCACCAAGGCGAUGAUACAUAGCCGACCUGAGAGGGUGAUCGGCCAAAUUGGGACUGAGACACGGCCCAAAACCCUACGGGAGGCAGCAGUAGGGGAUCUUCGGCAAUGGACGAAAGUCUGACCGAGCAACGCCGCGUGAGUGAAGAAGGGUUUCGGAUCGUAAAACUCUGUUGGUAGAGAAGAACGUUGGUGAGAGUGGAAAGCUCAUCAAGUGACGGUAACUACACAGAAAGGGACGGCUAACUACGUG
RNAcentral lists this ribosomal RNA (497 nucleotides) under uncultured bacterium. RNAcentral describes it as "partial 16S ribosomal RNA". It matches the Rfam family "Bacterial small subunit ribosomal RNA", at positions 28 to 507 of the family's 1533-position model. The record is from RNAcentral.